AUGUGGUCCUUGCUGAGGAGAAUUAGGCCAAAUGCAAGUGAACCGUGGCUGAUGAUUGGCGACUUCAAUGAGAUGAUGUGGCAAUCUGAGCAUUUCUCCACUUCUAAAAGAUCGGAAGGCCAAAUGGCUAGGUUCCUAAGUGUUCUCAAUUUCUGUAAUUUACAUGAUCUAGGUUUCAGAGGCAGACCAUGGACUUAUGACAACAAAAAGCAAGGAGCUAGAAAUGUGAAGGCAAGGAUUGACAGGGCUAUUGCAUCUCCAUGUUGGCACGAUAUCUUCACACAAGCUACUGUUACUCAUAUUACCACCCAACGAUCUGAUCACUUUCCACUUUUGUUGAAUUAUAUGGGUCAAGAUAAUUCUGACAGGGGGGCAAGGCUUUUCAGGUAUGAGUACAUGUGGGAGAGGGACCCCUCCCUGGCUGUUGAAAUUAAAAAUGCUUGGAAUAAUAGUGAUGCUCUAGGUUUGGGUCUCGAGGGCGUGUCAAAGAAACUGAAAAAGGUGCAGCAGGAGUUAUAUGGUUGGAGUAGGAGAACGUUCAGAUCUGUCCGGUUCAAAGUCCAGAAGCUAAGGAAAUAG
RNAcentral lists this ribosomal RNA (579 nucleotides) under Triticum aestivum (bread wheat). Its description in RNAcentral is "partial small subunit ribosomal RNA". Lineage: Eukaryota; Viridiplantae; Streptophyta; Magnoliopsida; Poales; Poaceae. The record is from RNAcentral.